RNAcentral lists this long non-coding RNA (894 nucleotides) under Equus caballus (horse). RNAcentral describes it as "lncRNA (ENSECAG00000050003.1)". The record is from RNAcentral. Lineage: Eukaryota; Metazoa; Chordata; Mammalia; Perissodactyla; Equidae.
GGAAAAGAAUUUCUGAGGGUCCCAGAGUUGGGGUUUGGGGAGAGCUGAGCACAGAUUUGCAGAGGGCAGGGGCCAAGAGAGAGGGAACUAACAGCAAGGAUAGAGAAACUAGAACAGGCCUGUGAAGCCCCUCCAUGUGCCAGGCAGUCUCCGAGUCACAGGAGGGGCGCUGACCCACCGAGGGCGUCUGGGAUGCCUUCCCUGAGGGGACAGCGAGCAAGGGCUUGAAGGAAGAGGAAGAGCUGUCCAGGAGGGGCGAGGAGAGUGUUCAGGCUACGAUAGUAACCAGAGCUGUGGGGUGAGAGACUACUUGUGUGGGACGGUGAGAAGGACAAGAGCCAGUAUUACUGGAGUGUCGGAGAUGCUUCAGAGCUCAGAGGAGCAGUGAGCACCUUGGGGGCCCAGCCCCUGCCACCCCCACCCACCGCUGACUAAACUGGACCCGUUUCCCUGAACCUGCUGAGUGCUGCCCUGUGUCCGCGUUGGUUGGUGCAAAUAUGGACCAUUUCCAUCAUCGCAUGCAAUUCUAUUGGACAGCGCUGAUCUGGACAUCGAAUGUUCCUAAAACUGUUGUCAACUCCCUCGCUGUGCCAGGUACUCAGUGAACCAAGGCCCUUGGCCGAGCAGGGUGCCAGAGAGGUCCGGCAGGUGCGGGUGUUUGGUAAUGAGGACAGGGAGAGGUAAGCAUGGGCUAAUUACACUUUCCUGUCUCCACGGCACUUAGCCCAAUUUGUAAUUAUUUGUUGCUGGUUGUUUACUGGGCCUGCCUUCCCUGCGAAGGUCUGGGAACACAGAGACUGCGCGUCUGUUUUGCUCCCUCGGUUUCCCAGUGCCUGGCAUAGCGCUGGCACACAGUAGGUGCUUGAUGACCAUUUCUUUCUGAAAUGAGUCAAA